RNAcentral lists this ribosomal RNA (890 nucleotides) under uncultured organism. RNAcentral describes it as "bacterial SSU rRNA". It matches the Rfam family "Bacterial small subunit ribosomal RNA", at positions 21 to 889 of the family's 1533-position model. The record is from RNAcentral.
GGCUCAGAACGAACGCUGGCGGCGUGCUUAACACAUGCAAGUCGGAUGCGAACGGCGCUUUCGGGCGUUGAGUAGCAUGGCAGACGGGUGAGGAGCGCGUAUCUGACUGGACUCAGGCUGGGGGAUAGUCCCUCGAAAGGGGGUUGAAUACCGCAUGUGCUCGGUGCUGUGAGGGCAUCGAGGAAAGUUGGCCUCUGCGGGCACGCUGAUGGCCUGAGACAGGGAUGCGUCCUAUUAGCUAGCUGGUGGGGUAAGGGCCUACCAGGGCGACGAUGGGUAGCUGGUCUGAGAGGAUGAUCAGCCACACUGGGACUGCGACACGGCCCAGACUCCUACGGGAGGCAGCAGUGGGGAAUUUUGCGCAAUGGGCGCAAGCCUGACGCAGCAACGCCGCGUGCAUGACGACGCCUUUCGAGGUGUAAAGUGCUGUCGACCGGGACGAAGGGGCGAGGGUGAACAGCUUUCGCGCAUGACGGUACCGGUGGAGGAAGCCCCGGCUAACUCCGUGCCAGCAGCCGCGGUAAGACGGAGGGGGCGAGCGUUGUUCGGAAUUACUGGGCGUAAAGCGCGCGUAGGCGGUGCAGCAAGUGGUGCGUGAAAGCCCUCGGCUUAACCGGGGACGGGCGUGCCAAACUGUUGGACUGGAGUGCCGGAGGGGGAGGCGGAAUUCCUGGUGGAGCGGUGAAAUGCGUAGAGAUCAGGAAGAACGUCGGUGGCGAAGGCGGCCUCCUGGACGGACACUGACGCUGAGGUGCGACAGCGUGGGGAGCGAACGGGAUUAGAUACCCCGGUAGUCCACGCCGUAAACGAUGGGUACUAGGUGUGGGGCUUGUGAUGAGGCCCGUGCCGGAGCUAACGCAGUAAGUACCCCGCCUGGGGAGUACGGUCGC